Molecule: long non-coding RNA, 1282 nt
Organism: Talpa occidentalis (Iberian mole)
Lineage: Eukaryota; Metazoa; Chordata; Mammalia; Eulipotyphla; Talpidae
Exons: 10
Source: RefSeq, a predicted model, not a curated record
GUGUCCCUUUGCAUUGUGCUCCUGAAUGAAUGCCCUCGUGAGCGUAGCGAGCCUCGGGUCUCUAUUUGUGUUGCACCCAAUUGACUGGCGGGGAGGCGGGCUGGGGGGCACCUCCGCCAGGUCGUGGCGGUCUCGAAGCGGCGGCCGGGUUUCGUGAAGGGCAAAAUGGCGGCGGCGGGCGGCGCCGGCGCGCCUCUCCAUGAUGAGCACCUUUUCACAGACCUGUACUGAGCUCCGUGAGGAAAAGAAACUCUGAGGAGUCGGGCCUUGCGCAGCCGCCCGCAGGCGUGUUCACGGGAAGCCCCGGCUGCGAAAUAAUCCUCGAUGACCUCGUGUUCUCAUUGCAGGGCUCAGGCGGCGGACGCUGGAGAAUGGGGAAGACCCCUUUGGUCGGAGUGAGUGUUCGUGGCCGCCUUUGUUCUCAAUGUGGCUAAGCUCCGAAGAGCAUGAACGUGGCAAGAAUGAUCCCUGUGAAGAUCAGCCUGACGUUGAUGCCCCAGCAACUCAGUCACCAGUCUGGAGGAGCUCACCCACAUCCUGACGUGAUCAAGAUGGUUGUGAUGAUGAUGUAUUCAUCUCUUGCAAGUGCCUGUUGAACUGCUCUCCAGGGUCUUAACUCCCAGAAAGAGUCUAGCAUGGACCACCUGAAAGACCCAAAGGACUGUAAUUAGAAGGUGCAAUUGCCAGGAACCUGCUUGUUUGCCCAAAGGUCCAGCACCUUGUCAGAGACCAGGAAUGAUUUCAGAAAAACUAAAAGCCACGUGUCUGCUCAACUCCAUACUGAAGUGUUGAGGUUUAAAGAAAAACAAGAGAAAGUGAGCUGCAGAGUGCCUGGAGGCAGACUGUUAGCUGACAUAAAGCUGUGGCCCCUUGUUCUGUGUGGAGUACCUGUGGUUUUCAUCCAGUGAGAAUCCAAUUCUUGAAGGACAUGAAGAAUUCUUGUGCACUUUAGCUGUUAAAAUCAGCCUGCAGGGCCUCCCCGGUGGCGCAGCGGUUGAGCGCUGGGUUGUGAAGCUCCCCGCAGCCUCUGCAGUGCCGGUUCAAUCCCCGGCUGCUCCCCGGCCACCGGAGGAGGAUCCCACAUGGUGCGCAGACCUCUCCUGCCGCCCGCUGCUCCCCUCAGCAGUGUCCUUCGGUCCUUCUGCCUGCUCUGCUCCCCGCUCUGGCUCUGGUGAAUUCUCUCACCCUCCCAGGCUUCUGACUGUACCCAGUGCUUGUAUGUAUGUAUAAAUAAAGAUGGAAUUUAAAAAAUAAAAUCAGCCUGCAAUCUUUUUAGCCUUUG